Molecule: long non-coding RNA, 1167 nt
Filed under: Anas platyrhynchos platyrhynchos (common mallard)
Lineage: Eukaryota; Metazoa; Chordata; Aves; Anseriformes; Anatidae
Description: lncRNA (ENSAPLG00000025583.1)
Source: RNAcentral
AUGAAGACUCUCUCCUCUUUUUCGCAGAAAGUAAUAACCUUCCUGACGAUCACGUCUUUUCUAGGAGAAAUAACAGGCGAAACUUUCUUUCAUCGACAAGAACAUGGACAUCCUGCACUUCAGUGCCAUCAGCAAGCUGCUAAAGGAAAAGCAGAAAUAGCUUGGUAUAUAGCAGAUGACGAUCUGCAGCAAUUUAAGUUCAUUAACUGCUCUUCCAAGGAGCCUCGUUCCUCAUGUGGAGAAAGAGGGGGACCUUCAGGCUGCAAUGACACCUUACAAGUGACCCACAUACCCCCUGGGGGAGGGCUGUUUGCAUGUGGAGCAGUUCCUAGUGACAGAACACCAGCAACUUGCCCGCUGUUUCGCAAUGUCUCUCACUGCAGGCACUACAAUUUCUUUCUUACACAGAAAAUUUACCCCACACAAGUUUCAAAAAGCAAGUCCUUAGACAGUGUUCCUGAAACACCAUACAGCAGCCUGGUAUUUGAAGACAACAUCACUUUGUCAUGUGAAUUUGAAGCUAACUGCUCAGGACAAUGUUUUACUCUGUAUUGGAUCAGAGCUGCGAAAACAAGUGAAUGCAUUUUUUCUCUAGCACAUGAGCCUGGAACCCCACGUUUGACUUACAAUGAGCAUUGCUGUAUUGAUGAAGACAUGCAUGGACGAUUAUUGAACACUAGUGACUUUAGUUCAACUGACAAGAAAAGUAACGUGACUAUUCUGAAUGUUACUAGUGCUGACAGUGGAGAAUAUUUAUGCGUUGUUGCUAUCUGGAUAGAUGGCAAACACGUGUGGAGAGUUGCUAAUAACCUGUCUGUGGAAGUUCGGAAAGACAAAACUACAUAUAUACAGUGGUAUAUCGCCUCUGGAGCUAUAGCUGGGAUUAUUUUUCUCUGUGUCGUAUCAUGGCUAACCUAUCUCAAGACAGCUAAAUCAAAAGGAAAAAAAUCACCCACAGAAUUUAACAGAUAUUAUGAUGUUGUUGGAAUGCCAGAAGAUGAAUGUUCUCCAUAUGCAACAAGUUGUGUCAGUGACAUGCAAAGAAGUGAGCACAUUUAUUGCCAUGUAGCGGGGACUUACGCAAAAGUCUCUGCCACAGAUAACAACAAGGCUUCUGGGACAGGACUGGAAGACAUACAUACAGUAUAUGCAUAUGCUGGUAAAUAA